This 1039-nucleotide long non-coding RNA is filed under the name Bos indicus x Bos taurus (hybrid cattle). RNAcentral describes it as "lncRNA (ENSBIXG00000008553.1)". Lineage: Eukaryota; Metazoa; Chordata; Mammalia; Artiodactyla; Bovidae. The record is from RNAcentral.
GCCCGGCUUCCUUCCGCCACCGUGGGCCACGCUCCUGGCCGGUGUGGAAGUCAGGUGUCGGCGCUCGGCCUCCUCGAAGCUCCCCAAGGAUGGGGCAGAAGGCGGGACUAGCAAGCCACUCCUCUCGCUCAGGCCAGCGGCCGGCCCCUGCUGUCCGGGGACUCUGAAGACCCCUCGCUCCAGGCUCACCCUUCCAGGGAUGAGAGCGUCUGCUAACGACCAGACUGUGAUGCGGCCCCUGGUUCUUUCUUAAAACCACAUACAUGUCCCUAAUCAAGGAAGAUAUUGAACCCAUGAAUGUCAAGUGCUUCUGAAAUGGAGUUUUGCCGAUUGCUGCCUCUCUUCACAAAAGAAGUUACAUGUACGUUACAGAAGCAUCAGAAAAUACAGGGUUGUGAAGACCAUCAGCACCAUCGUCAAAGGCCCAGGGCCAGUGUGCCCUCAGCGUCAGCUCUCAUUACCCUUAUGGGCUAUGGUUUCCUGAAUAAAAUAAAUGAAGGUUAUAAUUAAGUGCUAAGCUCUUAAUGGGUGCCAAGUUGAAUUGAAUUGAUUUCUCAGUUAGUAUAACACAGAGAUAAGCUCCAAUACCUUGGCCACCUGAUGUGAAGAACUGACUCUGGAAAAGACCCUGAUGCUGGGAAAGAUUGAAGGCAGGAGGAGAAGGGGGCAGCAGAGAAUGAGAUGGUUGAAUGGCAUCACUGACUCAAUGGACAUGAGUUUGAGUAAACUCUGGGAGCUGGUGAUGGACAGGAAAGCCUGGCGCGCUGCAGUCUAUGGGGUCUCAAAGAGUCGGACACGACUGAGCGACGGAACUGAACUGAACUGAUAAGAAAGAGAAAAAAAGAACAAGAAUUUCUUACUAAUACAGUUUCCUGAGCCUCCGCAGGGCCCGUGCGUCCAAGAUCACUGGCCUGGGUGUCUGGUGAACGAGUCUGAGAAACCUUCCCAGGGCCUGGGCUGUGACGGUGACCCAGGCCUCGCUGACCACACUGUGUGCCAUGGACCAGGACUGUGUGGCCUGUGUGUGUGACUCUGAUUU